GACGAACGCUGGCGGCGUGCUUAACACAUGCAAGUCGAACGGAAAGGCCCUGCUUUUGUGGGGUGCUCGAGUGGCGAACGGGUGAGUAACACGUGAGUAACCUGCCCUUGACUUUGGGAUAACUUCAGGAAACUGGGGCUAAUACCGGAUAGGAGCUCCUGCUGCAUGGUGGGGGUUGGAAAGUUUCGGCGGUUGGGGAUGGACUCGCGGCUUAUCAGCUUGUUGGUGGGGUAGUGGCUUACCAAGGCUUUGACGGGUAGCCGGCCUGAGAGGGUGACCGGCCACAUUGGGACUGAGAUACGGCACAGACGCCUGCGGGAGGCGGCAGUGGGGAAAAUUGCACGAUGGGCGGAAGCCUGAUACAGCAACGCCGCGGACGGGAUGACGGCCUUCGGGUUGGGAACCGAUUUCGCCUGUGACGAAGCGUGAGAGACGGUAAUGGGUUGAGAAGCACCGGCUAACUACGUGC
This 469-nucleotide ribosomal RNA is filed under the name uncultured bacterium. Its description in RNAcentral is "partial 16S ribosomal RNA". It matches the Rfam family "Bacterial small subunit ribosomal RNA", at positions 28 to 508 of the family's 1533-position model. The record is from RNAcentral.